This 23-nucleotide non-coding RNA is filed under the name Mus musculus (house mouse). RNAcentral also lists the same sequence under 1 other name. The record is from RNAcentral. Lineage: Eukaryota; Metazoa; Chordata; Mammalia; Rodentia; Muridae.
UGAGCCAAAAUAAAUCUUUGCUC